AGUCACUGACAUUAGAUACCCCGGUAGUCCCAGCCGUAAACUAUGCUCGCUAGGUGUCAGGCAUGGCGCGACCGUGUCUGGUGCCGCAGGGAAGCCGUGAAGCGAGCCACCUGGGAAGUACGGCCGCAAGGCUGAAACUUAAAGGAAUUGGCGGGGAGCACCACAACGGGUGGAGCCUGCGGUUUAAUUGGACUCAACGCCGGGAAGCUCACCGGAUAAGACAGCGGAAUGAUUGCCGGGCUGAAGACUCUGCAUGACUAGCUG
RNAcentral lists this ribosomal RNA (264 nucleotides) under uncultured archaeon. RNAcentral describes it as "partial 16S ribosomal RNA". It matches the Rfam family "Archaeal small subunit ribosomal RNA", at positions 718 to 982 of the family's 1478-position model. The record is from RNAcentral.